AAUUUAUACAAUGUUGGUAAACGACGGAAUGGAAAAUUUAUACAAAUAAAAAAUAUAUCGUCUCGUCUCACGCUGAUUGUAUGCAAAUCGGUCGCGACAUUUUUGAUAUACGCCGUGACAACGUUCACGACCCAUUCCGUUCUCCGAAACUGAUAUUUCCCCAUUUUAAAUAAUAAUAAACCGAGUAUUCGCAAGAUUCCAGGGGUUAUAAUAUUAUAUUGCUAACCGCUAAAUGUAAUAUCGUGUAGAAAGGUGUAGAUAACAAUAUUUAUAAGCCAAUAUUUUCGUUACAGUGAGUUAUUUCACCCACUCCUCUUCCCUCUGCUACUCUAAAUAUGAAUAAAUAAUAACAAUUAUCAUACGUUUAAAACGAUAAAACAAUCAAAUUAUGAUCUUUUUUUGUUUUGCAUCCCUCCGAAAAAUUGUCUCGACCUCCGAGGUAAAUAAUCUUAU
Non-coding RNA from Cinara cedri, 453 nucleotides. The record is from the annotation of a GenBank genome assembly. Lineage: Eukaryota; Metazoa; Arthropoda; Insecta; Hemiptera; Aphididae.